CUACGGGGUGCAGCAGUCGAGAAUCGUCUACAAUGGGGGAAACCCUGAUAGUGCGACGCCGCGUGAACGAUGAAACCCUUCGGGGCGUAAAGUUCUUUUCUUUGUGAGCAGAUUAUUUAAUGAGAAUAUUGUUUAAUAAUAGAUAUUAGCAAAGGAAUAAGCCACGGCUAACUCCGUGCCAGCAGCCGCGGUAAUACGGGGGUGGCAAGCGUUGUCCGGAAUCACUAGGCGUAAAGGGCAGGUAGGCGGACUGGUAAGUCAGAUGUUAAAGGCACAGGCUCAACCUGUGUAGGGCAUUUGAUACUGUCAGUCUAGAGUUAGGUAUGGGAGGACGGAAUUUCUGGUGUAGCGGUGGAAUGCGCAGAUAUCAGAAAGAACACCAAAGGCGAAGGCAGUUCUCUUGGCCAUAACUGACGCUAAACUGCGAAGGUGUGGGUAUCAAACAGGAUUAGAUACCCCAGUAGUC
This 466-nucleotide ribosomal RNA is filed under the name uncultured bacterium. RNAcentral describes it as "partial 16S ribosomal RNA". It matches the Rfam family "Bacterial small subunit ribosomal RNA", at positions 339 to 795 of the family's 1533-position model. The record is from RNAcentral.